GACGAACGCUGGCGGCGUGCUUAACACAUGCCAGUCGAACGGAAAGGCCCUUCGGGGUCCUCGAGUGGCGAACGGGUGAGUAACACGUGGGUGAUCUUCCCUGCACUUUGGGAUAAGCCUGGGAAACUGGGUCUAAUACCGAAUAGGACCACGCGCUUCAUGGUGUGUGGGGGAAAGCUUUUGCGGUGUGGGAUGGGCCCGCGGCCUAUCAGCUUGUUGGUGGGGUAAUGGCCUACCAAGGUGACGACGGGUAGCCGGCCUGAGAGGGUGACCGGCCACACUGGGACUGAGAUACGGCCCAGACUCCUACGGGAGGCAGCAGUGGGGAAUAUUGCACAAUGGGCGCAAGCCUGAUGCAGCGACGCCGCGCGAGGGAUGACGGCCUUCGGGUUGUAAACCUCUUUCAAUAGGGACGAAGCGCAAGUGACGGUACCUAGAGAAGAAGCACCGGCUAACUACGUG
RNAcentral lists this ribosomal RNA (462 nucleotides) under uncultured bacterium. Its description in RNAcentral is "partial 16S ribosomal RNA". It matches the Rfam family "Bacterial small subunit ribosomal RNA", at positions 28 to 507 of the family's 1533-position model. The record is from RNAcentral.